UACGGAGGGGGCUAGCGUUGUUCGGAAUUACUGGGCGUAAAGCGCACGUAGGCGGCUUUGCAAGUUAGAGGUGAAAGCCCGGGGCUCAACUCCGGAAUUGCCUUUAAAACUGCAUCGCUAGAGUUGUGGAGAGGUAAGUGGAAUUCCGAGUGUAGAGGUGAAAUUCGUAGAUAUUCGCAAGAACACCAGUGGCGAAGGCGGCUCACUGGCCCGGUACUGACGCUGAGGUGCGAAAGCGUGGGGAGCAAACAGG
RNAcentral lists this ribosomal RNA (253 nucleotides) under uncultured bacterium. RNAcentral describes it as "partial 16S ribosomal RNA". It matches the Rfam family "Bacterial small subunit ribosomal RNA", at positions 524 to 776 of the family's 1533-position model. The record is from RNAcentral.